This 273-nucleotide ribosomal RNA is filed under the name uncultured bacterium. RNAcentral describes it as "partial 16S ribosomal RNA". It matches the Rfam family "Bacterial small subunit ribosomal RNA", at positions 524 to 796 of the family's 1533-position model. The record is from RNAcentral.
UACAGAGGUCCCGAGCGUUGUUCGGAUUCACUGGGCGUAAAGGGUGCGCAGGUGGCGCUUCAAGUUUGAUGUGAAAGCCCCAAGCUCAACUUGGGAAUGGCAUUGAAUACUGAAGUGCUUGAGGUUUGGAGGGGGGACUGGAAUUCUCGGUGUAGCAGUGAAAUGCGUAGAUAUCGAGAGGAACACCAGUGGCGAAGGCGAGUCCCUGGACAACACCUGACACUGAGGCACGAAAGCUAGGGGAGCAAACAGGAUUAGAAACCCCAGUAGUCC